GCUGCGGUGUCCGAGCGGUUAAGGAGUUGGACUUGAAAUCCAAUGGGUUUUACCCGCGCAGGUUCGAGUCCUGCCCGCAGCG
This is a non-coding RNA of Acyrthosiphon pisum (pea aphid), 82 nucleotides long. The record is from Rfam. NCBI's taxonomy places the organism in Eukaryota, Metazoa, Arthropoda, Insecta, Hemiptera, Aphididae.